GAUGAAGAACGCAGCGAAAUGCGAUAACUAAUGUGAAUUGCAGAAUUCAGUGAAUCAUCGAGUCUUUGAACGCACAUUGCGCCCCCUGGAAUUCCGGGGGGCAUGCCUGUCCGAGCGUCAUUGCUGCCCUCAAGCACGGCUUGUGUGUUGGGCUCCGUCCCCCCGGGGACGGGCCCGAAAGGCAGCGGCGGCACCGAGUCCGGUCCUCGAGCGUAUGGGGCUUUGUCACCCGCUCUGUAGGCCCGGCCGGCGCCAGCCGACAACCCAUCAUCCUUUUCAGGUUGACCUCGGAUCAGGUAGGGAUACCCGCUGAACUUAAGCAUAUCAAUAAGCGGAGGA
This 339-nucleotide unclassified non-coding RNA is filed under the name soil metagenome. RNAcentral describes it as "partial contains 5.8S ribosomal RNA, internal transcribed spacer 2, and large subunit ribosomal RNA". The stretch from base 1 to 120 matches the Rfam family "5.8S ribosomal RNA", at positions 35 to 154 of the family's 154-position model. The record is from RNAcentral.